Molecule: unclassified non-coding RNA, 371 nt
Filed under: Hevea brasiliensis (rubber tree)
Lineage: Eukaryota; Viridiplantae; Streptophyta; Magnoliopsida; Malpighiales; Euphorbiaceae
Source: RNAcentral
UUUGAAUCAUAUUCAGACAGUGCAAGACUGUGUCUUAUUGGAGCAGACCACUGGAAGCAUCCUCGGACCUAUGCUAAUCCAGAAGCUAUUCAGAGAACUGAAUUGUACGAAUAUUCAAAGGUGCUUGGCAACUCCCAGUAUAUCCUGCUACCAUUUCAGCCAUAUAAGUUGAUAUAUGCAUAUAUGCUGGCUGAAGUGGGCAAAGUUUCUGAUUCGUUAAAGUACUGUCAGGCAAUAUUAAAAUCUCUAAAGACUGGUCGUGCUCAAGAAGUGGAAACAUGGAAACAAUUAGUAUUAUCCCUUGAGGAGAGGAUUAGAACCCAUCAACAGGGCGGAUACACUGCAAAUUUGGCUCCAGCAAAGUUAGUAGG